This 423-nucleotide ribosomal RNA is filed under the name uncultured bacterium. RNAcentral's name for it is "bacterial SSU rRNA". It matches the Rfam family "Bacterial small subunit ribosomal RNA", at positions 355 to 792 of the family's 1533-position model. The record is from RNAcentral.
UGGGGAAUAUUGGGCAAUGGGCGCAAGCCUGACCCAGCAACGCCGCGUGAGUGAAGAAGGCCUUUGGGUUGUAAAACUCUGUUCUAUGGGAAGAAGGAAGUGACGGUACCAUAGGAGAAAGCUCCGGCUAACUACGUGCCAGCAGCCGCGGUAAUACGUAGGGAGCAAGCGUUGUCCGGAAUUACUGGGCGUAAAGGGUGCGUAGGCGGCAGCUUAAGUCAGAUGUGAAAUGCCGGGGCUCAACUCCGGAGCUGCAUCUGAUACUGGGCCGCUAGAGUGCAGGAGAGGAAAGUGGAAUUCCUAGUGUAGCGGUGGAAUGCGUAGAUAUUAGGAGGAACACCAGUGGCGAAGGCGACUUUCUGGACUGUAACUGACGCUGAGGCACGAAAGUAUGGGGAGCAAACAGGAUUAGAUACCCUGGUA